Molecule: long non-coding RNA, 329 nt
Filed under: Pan troglodytes (chimpanzee)
Lineage: Eukaryota; Metazoa; Chordata; Mammalia; Primates; Hominidae
Description: long non-coding RNA NONPTRT017514
Source: RNAcentral
AGAUUGGAGUUUGAUUUAGAUUAUUUGGGCUUCUUAAGACGUAACAACAAGGCUUUUUAAAUAUCUGAAAAGGACUUGGAAAGCCAUGGGUUGGUCAAGAUGUUUCUCAGGGUGUGAGAACAUGAGCUUUGAAAUAUAGGGAUAGAGGAAGCAGCAGGAAAAGCCUUGUGGGCUCCCUGGGUCCCCUAGCAAGCCAUUUCUGCUUUGCCUCACAGGGGUCCUUGAUGCGGGCUGCCAGAGACACUAGGAAAAGGCCACAGGAAGAAGGAAACCUCCAGCUGAACUGGUUGGAAUUUCUUUUCUUUAAGAAUGCUAAAAAUAGGCCAAAU